RNAcentral lists this ribosomal RNA (306 nucleotides) under uncultured bacterium. RNAcentral describes it as "partial 16S ribosomal RNA". It matches the Rfam family "Bacterial small subunit ribosomal RNA", at positions 507 to 807 of the family's 1533-position model. The record is from RNAcentral.
GACAGCAGUAGCCGCGGUAAUACGAAGGGUGCAAGCGUUAAUCGGAAUUACUGGGCGUAAAGCGUGCGUAGGCGGUGAGUUAAGUCUGCUGUGAAAUCCCCGGGCUCAACCUGGGAAUGGCAGUGGAUACUGGCUCGCUAGAGUGUGUCAGAGGAUGGUGGAAUUCCCGGUGUAGCGGUGAAAUGCGUAGAGAUCGGGAGGAACAUCAGUGGCGAAGGCGGCCAUCUGGGACAACACUGACGCUGAGGCACGAAAGCGUAGGGAGCAAACAGGAUUAGAUACCCCCGUAGUCCCUGUCUCUUAUAC